UUGGUCUGGCUUUCUCCAGUUUGCUCUAGAGAAGAGAUGGGAAAAGACUGCUUUGAAAACCACAGGCACCUCUUCCAAAAACUAUUCAGUGAGAGACUAUCACAGCUGAAAUCUGCAGUGUCACUCCAAUGCCAGGCCAGGUAAUGCCAUGACUAAAUGGAAGCUUCUCUUAGAGGAAAAAAGAAUCUGGAGGAUAUGACGAUAGGAUUUCCUGCAGAUGCUGCACUUCUGCUGCCUGGGUAUCCAUUACAGACAACAGCUUUGCCCACACAAGGCUGGGACCACAAGAUUAAUUCACUUGAUACGUCUUAUCCGAAAUUCUCAUUAUCAUUUUCCCAAGAUCUGCCUCAAUGAAAUAAAGCUUCAGCCUUCA
Long non-coding RNA from Gallus gallus (chicken), 373 nucleotides. RefSeq lists it as uncharacterized. The transcript has 2 exons. NCBI's taxonomy places the organism in Eukaryota, Metazoa, Chordata, Aves, Galliformes, Phasianidae. The record is from RefSeq and is a predicted model, not a curated record.